Molecule: long non-coding RNA, 1295 nt
Organism: Drosophila ficusphila
Lineage: Eukaryota; Metazoa; Arthropoda; Insecta; Diptera; Drosophilidae
Exons: 2
Source: RefSeq, a predicted model, not a curated record
GUGGAGGGGUGACGGCGCCCCCUGAAGGUCGACGGCCGAUGGGCAGGGCGUUUGCUUGAAGUUAUCGCGAUACGCCUGCAUCUGUGGAAAGCGAUUUGCAAGAGGUGAAAGCGGAUUUCCCGAUGAACGAACACGAAUUCUUCGGAUCAUCCAAGCCUUAUGUGCAAUCACGUAAUGAAAAGAUCGCAGUGAAUGCUUCAUAAGCUGAAGCCUCGCUAAAAAGCAAAUGUCAAAAUGUUUCCUGGCACAGGUUGCGAAUUCUAUUGCGAUGGAGGAGAUCUGGGGUUAUCGCCAUCGUUCAUAUCAUAUCAGUUGCAUACUCAUGCAGCCCAUAUAUAAAGUACAUAGGUGAGACAGCUAUUUCAAUGGCUCGGCGACUAAAAUGGAUGCCAGAAAAGAAAAAAGUACCGAGCUGUUGGAACUGAAAUAUACCUACUCGUAUAUUGAAUUUAAAUAACCUUAUCAGCCAGCCGUUUUUAACCUGAGGAGCGACCUUGCGAUGAUAUCAAUGUGCGCCAGGUACACAGAAUCGAAUUAUUUCCACACAAAUCGGGUACAGAUGUACAUAUAGUAUGUGUAAAUUAGAAUCGCGACAAGCGGACUCUCAAAGUCCGAAGAUUGGUUAUGCAUUCGCCAUUAAGGUGUUUGUUUGCUUCACUUUCAGUUUCUUAAUCUCGGCCCGAUGCCAUAAGGUCUAUACUAUGUGUAGGUGUGAGAUUAUAAUGCCGAGCAUAAGUUUGCCUGUCGCGCUUUUCUUGCGCGGGUUCUCUGGGUUCUCGGGUUCAUAGUAGAGCCUCGUUAUCAGCUGAAAUGGGAUUGAAUACCUUGCCAGUGUGUUUGUGGCAGGCCAAAGUCCCAUUUUACCACUAAUCUGGAACUGCUGCUUCGGGGACCUGCAUUGCAUUGCGAUCGAACUCUCCGCUGGAAGACUCUUCCAUUUCGAUUUCGAUCUUGCCUCUUCUCUCUUGACAACGGGCGCCACUUGGAUGAUAUUGGAUGGAACCUUCAAGCCGCCGCUGUCCGAUGAUUUAUACACCGAUCGCCAAAGAUCAGACAGACGGACGGAGGAGAGCGGAUCCGCCGGAGAGUUGGCGACAAUAAUCAUCACGUUCACACACACUGUCCGGCUGAUCACCAUCCAUAUAGGUCUAUAUGUGCGGUAGCUAAUUACUGAUACACUGGGAAAAAACAGUGGUAGUAUUAAAAAAUAUUUAAAAAUAUUCACAUAAUAAUAGUUUGUAAGAAACAAAAUGUAUUACAUAAUUUCUUACCUAUUAUAAAAUAUGAAUUCGAAA